CCUACGGGUGGCAGCAGUGGGGAAUAUUGGACAAUGGGGGCAACCCUGAUCCAGCCAUGCCGCGUGUGUGAAGAAGGCCCUCGGGUUGUAAAGCACUUUCAGUGAGGAAGAACGCCUGGUGGUUAAUACCCAUCAGGAAAGACAUCACUCACAGAAGAAGCACCGGCUAACUCCGUGCCAGCAGCCGCGGUAAUACGGAGGGUGCGAGCGUUAAUCGGAAUUACUGGGCAUAAAGCGCGCGUAGGUGGCUUGAUAAGCCGGUUGUGAAAGCCCCGGGCUCAACCUGGGAACGGCAUCCGGAACUGUCAAGCUAGAGUGCAGGAGAGGAAGGUAGAAUUCCCGGUGUAGCGGUGAAAUGCGUAGAGAUCGGGAGGAAUACCAGUAGCGAAGGCGGCCUUCUGGACUGACACUGACACUGAGGUGCGAAAGCGUGGGUAGCAAACAGGAUUAGAUACCCCAGUAGUC
RNAcentral lists this ribosomal RNA (465 nucleotides) under Vreelandella stevensii. Its description in RNAcentral is "partial 16S ribosomal RNA". It matches the Rfam family "Bacterial small subunit ribosomal RNA", at positions 338 to 795 of the family's 1533-position model. Lineage: Bacteria; Pseudomonadati; Pseudomonadota; Gammaproteobacteria; Oceanospirillales; Halomonadaceae. The record is from RNAcentral.